CCUUAUAACUGGGAGGCUACUGGGAGGGACAGGUACUUUGACAGCCAGAAGUCAGUGUCAGGACUCUCACAUUUCAUCAGGUGAAGAGCUCUGAGUAACAGGACUGCGAGACAAGAACAUAACUGAGACAAAGAUGUGGGAGAGGACAGUACUCAUGUUACAAAUUAUUAGCUUCGUGGUGCAGUUCAUUACAACUUCAUCGCAAACUAUAACCACUACUCCAAAUGCAUCUACAACCACCUCUGCGUCCAUGACAACAUCUGCCUCUCCAAAUGCACCUACAACCACCUCUGCGUCCAUGACAACAUCUGCCUCUCCAAAUGUAACGACAAACACCUCAGCGUCCAUGACAACAUCUGCCUCUCCAAAUGUAACGACAAACACCUCUGCGUCUCUGACAACAUCUGCCCCUGCAAGCUUAGCUGUCAUCACCACUGGCCCCCAGAGUUCACUCUUCUCCACAGCUCUGGCAAACUCCACCACUUUUGCUCGUUCAUCCACCUCCAGAUCCACAGCUGCAUCCACAAUCGUGACUUCUUCUGCAUCCACUAUUUUCAAUUUCUCCAUCCUCAUCAUUGCCGGUGGGCUGAUCUGGGCAACUCGUGUCUACUAAAAGAAAAGCUGUGUGAAGGGCCACGCCGUACAAACGGAAGACCAGAUACGUUCCUCUGGAGUUACAACACUGCCACACUUUAGUGCUAGAUCUUGGGUUAAUCAGCGUUGACAUCACGAGUAUAAAUGUCACAUUUUUGGAGACAAGGCCAAAAUGUAAAUUAAAAUUUGCAAUAGUGUGAUUAAAGCCUUUAUAAUGAGA
This is a long non-coding RNA of Brienomyrus brachyistius, 814 nucleotides long. RefSeq lists it as uncharacterized. Lineage: Eukaryota; Metazoa; Chordata; Actinopteri; Osteoglossiformes; Mormyridae. The transcript is spliced from 3 exons. The record is from RefSeq and is a predicted model, not a curated record.